AUCGCGUCCGACCCAACCGAACUCUCGAGCUCGGUGUACGCUCCCCAGCGCAAAGGGAAAAGGGUUUCGAAUGGCGCUUGUAACCCCGUGCGGCGCUCACUCUCCGAGGCUCCAAUGGCGAUGCGGUGGCUGGCGAGGGCGGCGAUGCAGCGGCUGGCGCAUCAGCCGAUGGUCCGCUCAUUUUCCUCUAUGAUGCCCGCUGCACCGUCGGAGGCGUUGCCGGUUGCUGGGUUCGUGGUGCCGUGCGGUCGCGGCGACAAGAAGACGAAGCGAGGGAAGCGAUUCAAGGGCUCGUUCGGCAACUCGCGGGGGAAGCGGAAGAAGAUGAUCCAGCGGAUCAAGGACCGGGUCGAGGUCCCUAGGUCCACUCCCUGGCCCCUCCCUUUCAAGCUUAUCUGAGAUCCCAUCUCGCCUCUUUGUGUGAAAACUUUUUCCUCUGAGCUAAAGUAAUGUAGAUCCUUAAGAUUACAUGAAGCAUCUUCCUAGAUGUGUUUUUCCUCAUUGAAUUCUGCUAUGGGACUGAAAGGACUGAGGAGUGCAUUUCCUACAACCAGUUGAGUGGCCUUUAUUUUAUAUGAUCAAUAUCAUAGUCAGCUCUUAGCUAUUGUGCCAGGUCAGAAAGGUUUUCCAUCUCUUCAUUAAUUCUUUCUGAUUAAGGUUUCUCUAUCUUCCUAUAUCAUAGCCAUUAAUCCCAUUGAACAGGAUAGCCAUUCUAUUUAGUUGUGCAUGUUAUAAUGUAGAGAUCUUAACAUGUAACUUUUGGGUAUUAAUGCAACAUUUUGGAGUCUUUGCCAUCUGAAACUUUAAUUCCCCAAUUUCAAUGGUGUAUCCAAUUAUUUCUCACA
Molecule: RNA transcript, 845 nt
Organism: Musa acuminata AAA Group (dessert banana)
Lineage: Eukaryota; Viridiplantae; Streptophyta; Magnoliopsida; Zingiberales; Musaceae
Exons: 2
Source: RefSeq, a predicted model, not a curated record